CCGAGUGGUAGGGACGUUUAUUGGGCUUAAAGCGUCCGUAGCCGGCUCAGCAAGUCCUCCGUUAAAUCCAACGAUUUAAUCGUUGGACUGCAGGGGAUACUGUUGGGCUAGGGGACGGGAGAGGCCGACGGUAUUCUCGGAGUAGGGGUGAAAUCCUAUAAUUCCGAGAGGACCACCAGUGGCGAAGGCUGUCGGC
This 196-nucleotide ribosomal RNA is filed under the name uncultured crenarchaeote. RNAcentral's name for it is "partial 16S ribosomal RNA". It matches the Rfam family "Archaeal small subunit ribosomal RNA", at positions 484 to 680 of the family's 1478-position model. Lineage: Archaea; Thermoproteati; Thermoproteota. The record is from RNAcentral.